This 253-nucleotide ribosomal RNA is filed under the name uncultured bacterium. RNAcentral describes it as "partial 16S ribosomal RNA". It matches the Rfam family "Bacterial small subunit ribosomal RNA", at positions 524 to 776 of the family's 1533-position model. The record is from RNAcentral.
AACGUAGGUCCCGAGCGUUAUCCGGAUUUACUGGGCGUAAAGCGUGUUCAGGCGGCGGCGUUAGUCGGGCAUGAAAUCUCUCGGCUCAACCGGGAGGGGCUGUCCGAUACUGCGCGGCUGGAGGGCAGUAGAGGGUGGUGGAAUUCCGGGUGUAGUGGUGAAAUGCGUAGAGAUCCGGAGGAACACCAGUGGCGAAGGCGGCCACCUGGACUGCACCUGACGCUCAAACACGAAAGCUCGGGGAGCGAACGGG